RNAcentral lists this ribosomal RNA (467 nucleotides) under uncultured bacterium. RNAcentral describes it as "bacterial SSU rRNA". It matches the Rfam family "Bacterial small subunit ribosomal RNA", at positions 330 to 795 of the family's 1533-position model. The record is from RNAcentral.
GCCAGACUCCUACGGGAGGCAGCAGUGAGGAAUAUUGGUCAAUGGGCGAGAGCCUGAACCAGCCAAGUCGCGUGAGGGAAGACGGUCCUAUGGAUUGUAAACCUCUUUUGCCGGGGAGCAAAAAGCGGUACGCGUACCGCAUCGAGAGUACCCGGAGAAAAAGCAUCGGCUAACUCCGUGCCAGCAGCCGCGGUAAUACGGAGGAUCCGAGCGUUAUCCGGAUUUAUUGGGUUUAAAGGGAGCGUAGGUGGAUUGUUAAGUCAGUUGUGAAAGUUUGCGGCUCAACCGUAAAAUUGCAGUUGAAACUGGCAGUCUUGAGUUCAGUAGAGGUGGGCGGAAUUCGUGGUGUAGCGGUGAAAUGCUUAGAUAUCACGAAGAACUCCGAUUGCGAAGGCAGCCUACUAAACUGCCACUGACAUUGAUGCUCGAAAGUGUGGGUAUCAAACAGGAUUAGAUACCCGCGUAAC